This 497-nucleotide ribosomal RNA is filed under the name uncultured bacterium. Its description in RNAcentral is "partial 16S ribosomal RNA". It matches the Rfam family "Bacterial small subunit ribosomal RNA", at positions 28 to 507 of the family's 1533-position model. The record is from RNAcentral.
GAUGAACGCUGGCGGCGUGCCUAAUACAUGCAAGUCGAGCGAACGGACGAGAAGCUUGCUUUUCUGAUGUUAGCGGCGGACGGGUGAGUAACACGUGGAUAACCUACCUAUAGGACUGGGAUAACUUCGGGAAACCGGAGCUAAUACCGGAUAAUAUUUUGAACCGCAUGGUUCAAAAGUGAAAGACGGUCUCGCUGUCACUUAUAGAUGGAUCCGCGCUGCAUUAGCUAGUUGGUAAGGUAACGGCUUACCAAGGCAACGAUGCAUAGCCGACCUGAGAGGGUGAUCGGCCACACUGGAACUGAGACACGGUCCAGACUCCUACGGGAGGCAGCAGUAGGGAAUCUUCCGCAAUGGGCGAAAGCCUGACGGAGCAACGCCGCGUGAGUGAUGAAGGUCUUCGGAUCGUAAAACUCUGUUAUUAGGGAAGAACAUAUGUGUAAGUAACUGUGCACAUCUUGACGGUACCUAAUCAGAAAGCCACGGCUAACUACGUG